RNAcentral lists this ribosomal RNA (374 nucleotides) under uncultured organism. RNAcentral's name for it is "partial 16S ribosomal RNA". It matches the Rfam family "Bacterial small subunit ribosomal RNA", at positions 527 to 896 of the family's 1533-position model. The record is from RNAcentral.
GUAGGUGGCAAGCGUUGUCCGGAAUUAUUGGGCGUAAAGCGCGCGCAGGCGGGUUUUUAAGGUCUGAUGUGAAAGCCCACGGGCUCAACCGUGGAGGGUCAUUGGAAACUGGAGAACUUGAGUACAGAAGAGGAAAGCGGAAUUCCACGUGUAGCGGUGAAAUGCGUAGAGAUGUGGAGGAACACCAGUGGCGAAGGCGGCUUUCUGGUCUGUAACUGACGCUGAGGCGCGAAAGCGUGGGGAGCAAACAGGAUUAGAUACCCUGGUAGUCCACGCCGUAAACGAUGAGUGCUAAGUGUUAGGGGGUUUCCGCCCCUUAGUGCUGCAGCUAACGCAUUAAGCACUCCGCCUGGGGAGUACGGCCGCAAAGGCUG